This 224-nucleotide long non-coding RNA is filed under the name Ricinus communis (castor bean). Its description in RNAcentral is "long non-coding RNA (RCOM_LNC003005)". The record is from RNAcentral. Lineage: Eukaryota; Viridiplantae; Streptophyta; Magnoliopsida; Malpighiales; Euphorbiaceae.
GGCAAACUAAUUGAUAUGGUCCAAAUAACACUUUUGUUCCAUACAACUUUAUAAGCUCUAACAAAAACACAGUACUGCAACUUCUCUAAAGCAACUUCUUAAACUUCUGCAUUGGCUUUGGCAAAACAUGUUGCCCUUCUUAAAUCACCAAUUCUGCAUUGUUACUAGUCUUUGUCUUUGUAGGUACCAACUUCUGUUUGCCUUUCGAACUAGCUACCACCUUC